AAAAAGGCAAACCCUGGAUUUUCGUGUCCAACUUUAACUGUCUGUCUCAUAUCUCAUAUGAAAUUUUUUUAUAAUUCCUAUUUUCAUUGUUGUUAGAUGAUAAAACAUGAUUAAUAUUUUAUGCGUGACUUGUUUUUUUAAUUUUUUUCAUAAUUUUUUCAAAUAAGAUAGACGGUCAAACGUUGGGCACGGAAACCAGGGUUUGUCUUUUU
This is a non-coding RNA of Oryza glumipatula, 212 nucleotides long. Lineage: Eukaryota; Viridiplantae; Streptophyta; Magnoliopsida; Poales; Poaceae. The record is from Rfam.